CGGCGCGAACAAGCCUUAUCCUCGGCAGCUUCGUUUCUAUCCAACGAAAAUCUCACCCGCUCCCCUUCUCCCCACCACCAGCGCGCCAUCAAAGGAACUCGCCGCGCCAUUCCUCCACCUCCCCUCAACUCUGGAUACUGUUGCUCAUCAAUUCUGGACUCCACAUGAAGAGAAAAGGGACAAGGCCAAGGGUAAUGUACCUAUGGCUCCUUCCCGAAAGGCAAGGCCAAUGGCGGAACUCCUUGGUCGCAUUGCUAGCUUCCUUGUUCAGUUCCAGAAGGCCAUCAUCACUGUCUGCACUGUCAAUGCAAUAAAUGUUGCUAUCAUGGAGUCAUGUCAUACAACGAGGGUCAACCAGCAUAAGGCUCGUCUUCGUGCCUGAGGUGGGAGACCUAUCGAUGAUGAUCCUAUCCCUCUAGCUCCUCCGAUCCCUGAGUUUGGCUUCCCGACUGAGACCGACAUCUUCUCACAGGGGGUCCCCGACGAUGACAACAUCGAUGAGGAGUGAUCAUUUGGGUCUCAUUAGUUUCCUUCACCCUUUUUGGUACUUGUUGUCAAAGGGGGAGAAGUGGUAUGUUAGGCCUCGCGGGUGCUCACAUAGUGUCAAGAUUUCUUCCUAUGAAGAACAUCGACGAGACCAAUAUGAUUUGCUCAUAUUUUCCCAUCAUCUACUUCUUGGAGAUGCCAGUGAAGAAAGGAUGAUGUAUUACUUUACCUGGAGUUAUUGGAUGAGUUGUUUUGGCACACUAGUUUUGUUUUGGCACACUAGUUUAUGAAGUGAUUGGUGGUGUCU
Molecule: long non-coding RNA, 793 nt
Organism: Triticum dicoccoides
Lineage: Eukaryota; Viridiplantae; Streptophyta; Magnoliopsida; Poales; Poaceae
Exons: 3
Source: RefSeq, a predicted model, not a curated record